CCCACCUGCCUCCAUUCCUGCCUUCCCUACUCCACACACCUCAAGGCUCUGGAAAAUCCCACCUUCCUCCCCCUCCCCGCCGCUGGCAGCUGCUCCCUGCCGGCCCCGGAGGCAUCAUGGAGGGAGAGGAGGAGGAGGAGGAGGAGGAGAAAAGGAGAAGGAGAAAAGGAGAAUGAGGAGGAGGAGGAGGAGGAGAAGGCAGCCGAGCAAAUCCCGCCAGCCACACUCACCGCUGCCGGUGCUCAGCGGGGAAACAAAGGCGAUGCUGCCCCUCUCCCAGCCCGGCAUUCCUCCCGCCGAUGGAUUGGGCUCAGCAGGUGCAGCCCCCGGAUCGGGAUGCGGCUGGAGGAGCGUGGGGAUUCAUCCAGGCCGGAUUUCCCGCAGCAGCCGCUGCUUCGCGAUUUCCUUGGCAAAGGAUGGAUGGAUGGAGGGCGCUUAUUUGUGUUCCUCCAUGGCUGCCGCUGCUUCCCCUCCCUCCCGAGAGAAACAGCAGGCACGGCUGCGUUGGGCCUGGAGUGAGGGACCAGGUGGGAGCGCCGGGAAUUGGGCGGCGUGGGCUGGAGCAGGUGGCGUUUCCUCAUGGGCUGGAGGAGUCCCAGGAAUAUCACUGCUGGAGACAAGGACAGGACCAUCCUCAUCCUCAUCCUCAUCCUCAUCCUCAUCCUCAUCCUCAUCCUCAUCCUCAUCCUCAUCCU
Poecile atricapillus (Black-capped chickadee) is the source of this 695-nucleotide long non-coding RNA. RefSeq lists it as uncharacterized. Lineage: Eukaryota; Metazoa; Chordata; Aves; Passeriformes; Paridae. The record is from RefSeq and is a predicted model, not a curated record. The transcript has 3 exons.